RNAcentral lists this transfer RNA (74 nucleotides) under Pseudomonadota bacterium. RNAcentral describes it as "Proteobacteria bacterium (sponge metagenome) tRNA-Arg". It matches the Rfam family "tRNA". Rfam says of the family: Transfer RNA (tRNA) molecules are approximately 80 nucleotides in length. Lineage: Bacteria; Pseudomonadati; Pseudomonadota. The record is from RNAcentral.
GGCCCAGUAGCUCAGCUGGAUAGAGCGCUUGCCUCCGGAGCAAGAAGUCGCAGGUUCGAAUCCUGCCUGGGUCA